UGACCAAAUGAUGUAACCCCAUCCUCCAACCCUGGCAGUUCGCUCUUGAAGUCCCUUUUUUUUGGGUUUUGUUUUUUUUUUUUUUGGUUUGUUUUUUUUUUUUUUUGAGGGGGCCCGGUCCUCCCCACAUAUUAGGAUAAUGGAAGGAGUUCUGACCAUUGCUCUGCCGUUGGUCUAACGGGAAACGAUUGACAAAAACGAGCUUUUUAAAACAAGCCACAUCACGGCAUAUUUUGGCUUGGUUGGAGAGAAGGGGCGUUUAGCUGUAACUAUGGUGAGCGAAUGCCGCUUACAGGGCAUUUUCAAGAUUUCAACUCAAGGCUUGAGGACAAUCACGCCAAGUUGCUGGAGCCCUCCAGCACU
Molecule: small RNA, 363 nt
Filed under: Histoplasma capsulatum var. duboisii H88
Lineage: Eukaryota; Fungi; Ascomycota; Eurotiomycetes; Onygenales; Ajellomycetaceae
Description: Histoplasma capsulatum H88 hypothetical RNA
Source: RNAcentral